Molecule: ribosomal RNA, 254 nt
Filed under: uncultured bacterium
Lineage: Bacteria
Description: partial 16S ribosomal RNA
Rfam family: Bacterial small subunit ribosomal RNA
Source: RNAcentral
CACGUAGGCACCAAGCGUUGUCCGGAUUUAUUGGGCGUAAAGAGCUCGUAGGCGGUUCGGUAAGUCGGGUGUGAAAACUUUGGGCUCAACCCAAAGCCUGCACCCGAUACUGCCGUGACUUGAGUCCGGUAGGGGAGUGGGGAAUUCCUGGUGUAGCGGUGGAAUGCGCAGAUAUCAGGAGGAACACCGGUGGCGAAGGCGCCACUCUGGGCCGGUACUGACGCUGAGGAGCGAAAGCGUGGGGAGCGAACAGG